Molecule: unclassified non-coding RNA, 442 nt
Filed under: Hevea brasiliensis (rubber tree)
Lineage: Eukaryota; Viridiplantae; Streptophyta; Magnoliopsida; Malpighiales; Euphorbiaceae
Source: RNAcentral
GUCUCUUUCUCCUUCCCUUCAUUCAUUGGAUGCUUUCAGCUGCUUUCUCUUCUUGGACAAGCUCCUUGCUAGUACGGUUGCUAUUAUACUUCUCAUAAGAUCCAUCAUAAUCAUUUGCUUUAGCUCUAGCACCUGGACUUGUGGUUUUAUAGGAAUUGAAACUACCUCUUUGCAUCAUCUCCGUCUUUGAGGCUAUAUUACUAGCCUUGAAUAAGGUCUGCAAUACUUAAACUCCAAUCCAGUCCUUGACAGAUGGCUUUAGUUCCUCCAAAUACCUUACAAUCUGCAUUCAUGAAGGUUGUUUCUUUCAGCCAAUCUCAUAAAUUCAGCUGUGUAUUCAUGAACCAUUCGGCUACCUUGUUGGCAUCUUUAGUAUUGUUGGAAGAGAAUUUACUCAUAAUCUGGAGGUAAAAACUCUUAAUGUAGCAAAUACUUCAUCUGA